GCCGGGGGAUGUCAGCGUUACCCGGAAUCACUGGGCGUAAAGCGUCUGUAGGUGGUGAUGCAAGUCACUGGUGCAAAACUCUGGCUCAACCGGAGGAAAGCCAGUGAAACUGCAUGACUAGAGUGUGGGAGAGGUAGAAGGAAUUCCCUGAGUAGCGGUGAAAUGCGUAGAUACAGGGAAGAACACCGGAGGCGAAAGCGUUCUACUGGAACACAACUGACACUGAGAGACGAAAGCUAGGGGAGCGAAUGGG
This 253-nucleotide ribosomal RNA is filed under the name uncultured bacterium. Its description in RNAcentral is "partial 16S ribosomal RNA". It matches the Rfam family "Bacterial small subunit ribosomal RNA", at positions 524 to 776 of the family's 1533-position model. The record is from RNAcentral.